RNAcentral lists this unclassified non-coding RNA (1018 nucleotides) under Hevea brasiliensis (rubber tree). Lineage: Eukaryota; Viridiplantae; Streptophyta; Magnoliopsida; Malpighiales; Euphorbiaceae. The record is from RNAcentral.
GAGAAAACAAGGUUAUCAAAGUAUCUAAUAUAAGCAGUUAUAUGUGUUUGUGAAUUGGUCUUGUACUUUCAUACACAGCCUUGAAACACUAUGAACUUGACAAACCUACAAAAUACAAAAAAUAUGUGACACAACUGCUAAAGGGACUAUGGUAGCAGCCCUUUUAGCAUGAAACUAGUAUAUGCACACCACAAGUCAGAACGCAUGGCCAUUGCUCAGCCAUACCAACUCACACACCAAUCUUGGCAAUAACACGGAUGUCAACCCAGAGAUAACAAACUAAAACAGAUAUACAUUGAACUAUACACAGAUGAUAAUUUUUUAAAUGUAUGUAAGGACAACUGCCAUUGAAGACAUCAAUGUCACCACUAAUGUAAUCAGAGACGCCUCCCAUCGUGAACCGGCAUUUGGCAAGAAUGGAUAUGCAUCAGGAGGAGGCAUCACACAGUUGUCUCCAUUGAAAUAAAUUCUGUGAGGAAAAGCCCAACCCUUCUCAAAAGUGAAAGUUGAUGCAUCCUUCCGGAAUAGUAGCUCUGACUGGACAUUUCCUGAAGGACCUGCUUGCAUGAGCAGAUCAUUGUAGAACUUCACACCCCAUAGCAUAGCAGUGUCAUUGAUUGAUCCAUACGGAGUCAGUGACUUGUAAUUAAAGCUGAAUAAUGUAGUGAGGUUGUCAAAGUUUGGAUGUUGGACAACUAAGUUCCAUUGUGUAUAAUUCAUCCUGUAAUUGAAGUUUGUUAUAGUGAUCUUCACUCUCCAAUAUUCCUUGUAAUUGAGUUUCACAUGCCAAUGUAUCCUAAUUGGGCACAUAUGCUUUGUGCAUUGUACCAAAGGAACAUAAUUGUUCUUCCCAUGGUCUGAUACAACUGAAGCUAGGUGUGGCGUUUCUGGAUCUACACAACUCCCGCGCUGAGUGCCAUUACUCUGACAGCCACAAGUGCACGUCGGGCAGGGCACAAUCGUGUCAUUGUAGAAGGAUGAGAGGGACACACAACAUGUAGGAGUCUUUUGAGCUAGG